CUCUCAGCAAGCUCUGAAAUGGCUCCUGCUGUGAUUGUCUUCUUCAGCCUGGAGACUGCCGAGGCUGCUGCUGGCCCAGGUUUGGUGAGCAUGUCCUCACUGCUCGCCCGCUUCAGCUGCGACACAGAGGGUGGAACAGGUUUUUGUGAGGUGGGUAAAGGGAUAAAGCACUGUUCCAACAAUGAAGAAUGAAAAUGGGAAAGACUGUUCAAAAUGGCAAAUAAUUGAAAGGCAAGGAGAAAACAGUUUACAGGGCUACUCUGGCAACUCUUUGGGAAGUAAUCUCUGGUGACACAAGUCUACUCAAGAAGCCCAUGGAACACAAGCCCAAGAGUCUGUGGUUUCCUGGACCCUGUGAGCCCAUAAGUUCCAAUAACUGAAGUGUUGAUGAUGCUCCAGGAUACCAAACAACGAACGUUUUGCCUUCUGGCAGAGGUUUUGUCAGCUCACUCUGAGGAGGAGAAUGGAACAACCUGACUUUCUGACCUUCAGAGAGUUCUGCAGUCUCUCUGAAGUAAUUUCUUCAAUGUGUUCUUUCCUAUAGCAGCAAGUCUACUCUCUUUCUACUUCUUUUCUUCAAGGAAGCCACUUUGAUGAUUUUUGCAUUUGCAGCUGGACACAAUUUGAAGGCAUUAGCUGUCAUUAGGAAGAAAUCUCUCCACAAUUAACACUAAAUUUAACAAAUCAAUCAUAUCAGAUUUCCUGAUUAGUGUCCUCAGUAGCACUCCUUCAGAGAUGCUGCCUCAACCACACAGCACAACCUGCCUGGAGCACUGAA
Long non-coding RNA from Motacilla alba alba, 778 nucleotides. RefSeq lists it as uncharacterized. The record is from RefSeq and is a predicted model, not a curated record. The transcript is spliced from 3 exons. NCBI's taxonomy places the organism in Eukaryota, Metazoa, Chordata, Aves, Passeriformes, Motacillidae.